GAUGAAGAACGCAGCGAAAUGCGAUAAGUAAUGUGAAUUGCAGAAUUCAGUGAAUCAUCGAAUCUUUGAACGCAUCUUGCGCUCCUUGGUAUUCUGAGGAGCAUGCCUGUUUGAGUGUCAUUAAAUUCUCAACUACACUGACUUUGAAUUGGUGUGGCUUGGAUUUGGGUGGAAAAUUGUUGUGGGCUUUUUGUAUAGUCUGCUCCCCUGAAAGUGAUUAGCGGUACCUUUGUGGAACUGUCUACAGGUGUGAUAAUUAUCUACAUCUUAGACAUCUGCUGGAAUGCUGCUUUCUAAACCUUACUUGUAUUGACAAUCUUGACCUCAAAUCAGGUAGGACUACCCGCUGAACUUAAGCAUUUCAAUAAGCGGAGGA
This 376-nucleotide unclassified non-coding RNA is filed under the name soil metagenome. Its description in RNAcentral is "partial contains 5.8S ribosomal RNA, internal transcribed spacer 2, and large subunit ribosomal RNA". The stretch from base 1 to 120 matches the Rfam family "5.8S ribosomal RNA", at positions 35 to 154 of the family's 154-position model. The record is from RNAcentral.